This 229-nucleotide ribosomal RNA is filed under the name uncultured bacterium. RNAcentral's name for it is "partial 16S ribosomal RNA". It matches the Rfam family "Bacterial small subunit ribosomal RNA", at positions 568 to 796 of the family's 1533-position model. The record is from RNAcentral.
UACGUAGGCGGAAAAUUUAGUCAGUGGUGAAAUCCCGCAGCUUAACUGUGGAACUGUCAUUGAUACUGGUUUUCUUGAAUUUAGUUGAGGUAGGCGGAAUGUGUAAUGUAGCGGUGAAAUGCUUAGAUAUUACACAGAACACCGAUUGCGAAGGCAGCUUACUAAGCUAUGAUUGACGCUGAGGUACGAAGGCGUGGGGAGCGAACAGGAUUAGAUACCCUGGUAGUCC